AUCCAGCUGACGAGUCCCAACUAGGACGAAACGGGCGUCCAGGAU
Non-coding RNA from Schistosoma rodhaini, 45 nucleotides. The record is from Rfam. Lineage: Eukaryota; Metazoa; Platyhelminthes; Trematoda; Strigeidida; Schistosomatidae.